AGCUUCUGCCUCUGAGGACGAGGAGGUUCAGUACUCUAGUGUCAGAUUCACUCGCAGUGGUGCUGACUACAGGCCUUCCAAUGAUGAGGAUCCCACUGUGAUCUACAGCAGAGUGAAAUAAACAACAUUCACCCAUUUAUUCAACAUCACCACAACUUCCACCUGGUCAUAGUGGAAUGCUUCUAGAAACUCUCCAGAUGGACAUCAUCACAUGAUUUACCUAUGAUUUGAAUCAAUUUUCAAAAUAAAGAAGAAGCAGGUUUAAGACUGUAUGAUUUUUAGAGG
Molecule: long non-coding RNA, 285 nt
Organism: Ictalurus punctatus (channel catfish)
Lineage: Eukaryota; Metazoa; Chordata; Actinopteri; Siluriformes; Ictaluridae
Exons: 2
Source: RefSeq, a predicted model, not a curated record